UUUCGCAAUGCCCGAAAGGGUGACGAAGCGACGCCGCGUGUGGGAAGAAGGCCUUCGGGUUGUAAACCACUGUCGGGAGUUAAGAAAGGUGUACGGGUAAAUAGUCCGUGCAUUUGACAAAAGCUCCGGAGGAAGCCACGGCUAACUCUGUGCCAGCAGCCGCGGUAAUACAGAGGUGGCAAGCGUUGUUCGGAAUUAUUGGGCGUAAAGAGCACGUAGGCGGCCCUGCAAGUCAGCUGUGAAAGCCUCCUGCUUAACGGGAGAAGUGCAGUUGAAACUACGGGGCUAGAGUGCGGAAGGGGAGAGUGGAACUUCUGGUGGAGCGGUGAAAUGCGUAGAUAUCAGAAGGAACACCGGCGGCGAAAGCGGCUCUCUGGUCCGUAACUGACGCUGAGGUGCGAAAGCCAGGGGAGCAAACGGGAUUAGAUACCCCGGUAGUCCUGGCCGUAAACGAUGGGCACUAAGUAGAGGGGUUUU
This 477-nucleotide ribosomal RNA is filed under the name uncultured Planctomycetales bacterium. Its description in RNAcentral is "bacterial SSU rRNA". It matches the Rfam family "Bacterial small subunit ribosomal RNA", at positions 364 to 832 of the family's 1533-position model. The record is from RNAcentral. RNAcentral also lists the same sequence under 1 other name. Lineage: Bacteria; Pseudomonadati; Planctomycetota; Planctomycetia; Planctomycetales.